AUAUAUGCCGGUUCCAACCCCACCUCGGAGAUGAGGAACUCUGAGGUGCGCCGUAGCCUACCACCUAAACGCCUUCUUCAUGUACUCCACUUUGGCGGCGAUCUUCUCCUCGCUGAGAAAUGCGAUGGCAUGCAGCGCGUGCCUGAACAUCGCGGAUCCACGGGGCACACCGAGACCUUGAGCACAUGCCACCAUCACCUGAAUGCGCUCCAGAGUGGUGGUCAGCAUCCAUGACACAGAGGUGCACAGCUUGGCAAUAUCGCAAUCACCUAG
Molecule: ribosomal RNA, 273 nt
Filed under: Triticum aestivum (bread wheat)
Lineage: Eukaryota; Viridiplantae; Streptophyta; Magnoliopsida; Poales; Poaceae
Description: partial small subunit ribosomal RNA
Source: RNAcentral